Gallus gallus (chicken) is the source of this 328-nucleotide long non-coding RNA. The record is from Ensembl. Lineage: Eukaryota; Metazoa; Chordata; Aves; Galliformes; Phasianidae.
GGAAGAGUGGUCUAAUCUGUAGAGAGGAAGACUGAUUGUUUAUUUUGUUCUGCCUGCUGCACACUGGUUUGCACUGUGAGCUGCUGGGAACAGAGUUGCUCAGUGGGAAGGCCUUUCUGGACUGUGUGAUGGGGUAGGGAGAGCAAGAAGAGAGGAGAAGAAGACCUCCCAACAAAUUAACUGUCCCUAUCAAGGGGAGAAGGCAGAGGAAAGUAGUGAUAAUAGCUAGCAAAUUUGCUCAAGACUACAAAAGAGCUGAAGUAUGGUCCUUUUGCUUCUCUGUGGAAAAGAGCCUCAGCUCUCAUAAACUGCUGUACCUACCAAGUGG